GGAGGGGUGUCCGAGUGGUUGAAGGAGACCGUCUUGAAAACGGUUGGUUGCUGAAAGGUGACCCGUGGGUUCGAAUCCCACCCCCUCCGCCA
RNAcentral lists this transfer RNA (92 nucleotides) under Chloroflexota bacterium. RNAcentral's name for it is "tRNA-Ser". It matches the Rfam family "tRNA". From Rfam's summary of the family: Transfer RNA (tRNA) molecules are approximately 80 nucleotides in length. Their secondary structure includes four short double-helical elements and three loops (D, anti-codon, and T loops). Further hydrogen bonds mediate the characteristic L-shaped molecular structure. tRNAs have two regions of fundamental functional importance: the anti-codon, which is responsible for specific mRNA codon recognition, and the 3' end, to which the tRNAs corresponding amino acid is attached (by aminoacyl-tRNA synthetases). tRNAs cope with the degeneracy of the genetic code in two manners: having more than one tRNA (with a specific anti-codon) for a particular amino acid; and 'wobble' base-pairing, i.e. permitting non-standard base-pairing at the 3rd anti-codon position. Lineage: Bacteria; Bacillati; Chloroflexota. The record is from RNAcentral.